Molecule: non-coding RNA, 148 nt
Filed under: Pan troglodytes (chimpanzee)
Lineage: Eukaryota; Metazoa; Chordata; Mammalia; Primates; Hominidae
Source: Rfam by way of RNAcentral
GCCAGGCAUGGUGGCGUGUGCCUGUAAUUCCAGCUACUCAGGAGGCUGAGGCAGGAGAAUCACUUGAACCCGGGAGGUGGAGGUUGCAGUGAGCUGAGAUCACACCACUGCACUCCAGCCUGGGUGACAGAGUGAGACUCUGUCUCAA